UCCUCAAUCGUCUAACGGCUAUGAUACCGCUCUCUCACAGCGGGGGCCUGGGUUCGACUCCCAGUUGGGGAA
This is a non-coding RNA of Cantharellus anzutake, 72 nucleotides long. Lineage: Eukaryota; Fungi; Basidiomycota; Agaricomycetes; Cantharellales; Hydnaceae. The record is from the annotation of a RefSeq genome assembly.